GAUGAACGCUGGCGGCGUGCCUAAUACAUGCAAGUCGAGCGAACGGACGAGAAGCUUGCUUCUCUGAUGUUAGCGGCGGACGGGUGAGUAACACGUGGAUAACCUACCUAUAAGACUGGGAUAACUUCGGGAAACCGGAGCUAAUACCGGAUAAUAUUUUGAACCGCAUGGUUCAAAAGUGAAAGACGGUCUUGCUGUCACUUAUAGACGGAUCCGCGCUGCAUUAGCUAGUUGGUAAGGUAACGGCUUACCAAGGCAACGAUGCAUAGCCGACCUGAGAGGGUGAUCGGCCACACUGGAACUGAGACACGGUCCAGACUCCUACGGGAGGCAGCAGUAGGGAAUCUUCCGCAAUGGGCGAAAGCCUGACGGAGCAACGCCGCGUGAGUGAUGAAGGUCUUCGGAUCGUAAAACUCUGUUAUUAGGGAAGAACAUAUGUGUAAGUAACUGUGCACAUCUUGACGGUACCUAAUCAGAAAGCCACGGCUAACUACGUG
RNAcentral lists this ribosomal RNA (497 nucleotides) under uncultured bacterium. RNAcentral's name for it is "partial 16S ribosomal RNA". It matches the Rfam family "Bacterial small subunit ribosomal RNA", at positions 28 to 507 of the family's 1533-position model. The record is from RNAcentral.